GACGAACGCUGGCGGCGUGCUUAACACAUGCAAGUCGAACGGAAAGGCCCUGCUUUUGUGGGGUGCUCGAGUGGCGAACGGGUGAGUAACACGUGAGUAACCUGCCCUUGACUUUGGGAUAACUUCAGGAAACUGGGGCUAAUACCGGAUAGGAGCUCCUGCUGCAUGGUGGGGGUUGGAAAGUUUCGGCGGUUGGGGAUGGACUCGCGGCUUAUCAGCUUGUUGGUGGGGUAGUGGCUUACCAAGGCUUUGACGGGUAGCCGGCCUGAGAGGGUGACCGGCCACAUUGGGACUGGGAGACGGCCCAGACUCCUACGGGAGGCAGGAGUGGGGAAUAUUGCACAAGGGGCGGAAGCCUGAUGCAGCAACGCCGCGUGCGGGAUGACGGCCUUCGGGUGGUAAACCGCUUUCGCCUGUGACGAAGCGUGAGGGACGGUAAUGGGUAAAGAAACACCGGCUAACUACGU
Molecule: ribosomal RNA, 467 nt
Filed under: uncultured bacterium
Lineage: Bacteria
Description: partial 16S ribosomal RNA
Rfam family: Bacterial small subunit ribosomal RNA
Source: RNAcentral